GGUCCUCUUCUUCUUAUUAUUCUUUCUUCAAAUGCUUGUAACUCUUAUGGUUAGAGAGAAGCAGAGAAAGGAAAGAGAGAGGGAAAGAGGGGGCGACGAGAGACGGGGGAGAGGAGAAAGUGGGUGAAUCAAAGAAAAAAAGUAAUAGGUGAGGGGAGAGAGAGAGGGGAGAGGAGAGAGUGGGGUGGGUGAAAAAGAGUAAUCUUUCUUUAUACCCAAAAGGAGAAAAAAGAUAAAAAAAGAAAAGAAAAAGUGCUGACUAGGCUAUGGGAAAGAAGUUACCGACAUCUCUCUUCCCUCCUCGGUUAUAAAUAGGGGGGUAUUUCAAAAAAAAAAAAAAAACAGUAGUAGGAACUCUUGCCCACGCAACGAGGUAUUCCAACCGAGUGCUCGACUGACUUGUCUGUAAGUCUCUGGUUUUUGUUAGUGCGAUGAUGUCCCCAACAACAUUCUGGAUAAACAAUCCUUCACGCCUGCAAAUUGAGAGUCCAAAUUAUUCAAACAGAUGAUUCAUCAUAUCAUGCAACACCAAGAUUCAUAUGAACUAAACUAAUUCAUCAUAUAUGUUCAAUUAAGAAUUAUUUAGACGACCCUUAAGCUGACAUGACCAGACUGGUGGAUAACCCACUGGGAAUUUAUACAGAAAACGAGCCCUAUUACUUGCAACAACAUAAGGUUCCUGUGAGUAGAAGCUCUUCUUUGAUCAAUCAUCCAUGGCUUCCUCAGUUUUUUUUAUCAAUCGUCCAUGUGAUUAUUGAUCUGCUAAUGAAUUAGGCUUUGCUAUAUUUGUUCCAACAUCUGGUAUCAGAGCCAAUAAUAUUGGCUUCUCAUUAAUCCGUCAAGGCUGAUGCUUAUGUAAUUACUAAUCAUUAUUUUCUUCUUCUAAUUACUAAUUAUUAUAUUCUUCUUCUAAUCAUUAAUCUGAUUAUACAAGAUGUUCCAAGCGAUUAAAUUUUGUAAAAGAGGAAAUUUGAAUUUAUACCCGUCCGCCGUGGUUUUAAGAUUCCGGCCACACAAAUCUGCACAAGCCUUAAGGUCCCUUCUCCACUGCUCCACCUCAUCUGGAUCUUCAUCCCUUUCAUGCUUCCGAAAUGCUUCCCCAAAACUACCGCUCUGUUUCCUCACUUGAGAAGGGUCAACGUCGUAGAAUAUUGGAUAGACUACUUUCCCCUCUUGGUCUUCUCAUGAUCUUCGACAGCUCGCUCAGGCAACCAUCCGGCCUCCGCAUACCUCUUUGAGAAGACGACGACCGCGAUCCUCGACCCUUCGAUUUCUCCGUCAAGUUCGCUCGGUGUAUUUUCCUCCCUUCUGAGCUGGUAAUCUACAAACGUGUUAAUUCCGGCACUGUCGUAACGCAAUGGAGAGGUGGUCUGUGAAGGUAGUGCGUGUGUCGUCGCCCUAAAGCUGAGGAACACCUCGUACUUCCAGUGGUUUGAACGCCGAGACGAAGCGAUGCGGCGGCAGCGGUGGCGGUUGCAUGGGCGGAUCUGCUGGUAUUCAUUGAUUUCAAGUAAAGAAGAGAAAAACUCCUGAUUCGUUUCAGUCUAAAGAAAACAAGUAUCCCUCCCAAGAUUCCCCAGUGAAACUCCUGAUUAUUUUUUGAAUCGCUGGAAGAUGUGUGAGAGCAAAGCAAAUUAAGGACCCCAGCUCUUUGAUUAUUGUUUUGCAAAAAACAAACCCUCGAAGAUCUGAAACGCAGCUCAAACAGAUACAAAUCCAAUACGAAAAUAUUAGAGAGAAGAGAUACUGCUCUUUGACGACUUCCAGUUCCAGCUCUUUGUCUCUAUCUCGAUCUCGGUCUUAGUCAGAACUGGCGGUUGUUGCGGGCGGUGCGGCGUCGGAGGGGCGCGAGAAGAGGGAGAGAAGAAAGAAGAGAGAGAAAAAAAAUUGAAAUAAUGCCGUGUCAAUAACGCGUGAGUGACAGGCGGCAUUUUUUCAUUUUUUGCAUUGGUCAAUGAUGUUACUGUAGCUUGUAAAUAACGCGUGAGUGCUAUUCUAUUUCUCCCACUGUCAAUAAUGCCGUGUCAAUAACGCGUGAGUGCUACUGCUUUUUACUAGUUUUCUUGAUUAGAAAAAUGGGCGGCGGAUAGAGAAUGAGAGCCUACAGACCCUACCACUGAUUUGAUUGAUGGCUAAGAAUUAACCUCUCUUUUGUGACUUGAAGUACGCCCUUAAAACUAAAGACAAUUCCUUGAAAGCGGUGGGUUAUAAAAAUUGUACCAGGAUUCUUUCUUGAGCUAAGGAUAAGGAUUUUUUUUAUCAAGGAGUGUAGGCCGUUGGAUGAAAAUUCAACGGCUACAAACAGGAGGUCCUUUUAAAGUUAUAAUAAUUGUAGUCGUUGAAUUUUCAUUCAACGGUCCACACUCUUUGAUCAGGAGAAUCCUCAUCCUUAGCUCAGGAGAGGAUCCUGGUCCAUAAAAAUUAGUGUUCUAAAAAUUGAUCUAAACAAUCAUCUAGACGGAGCUUAGGAACUGAACUUGUGGCUGACCGUAGCGAUUAGGUUUUAAUCGGUCGUAAAAUCGGUAAACUUAUUAGGCGGAUGUCUGAGCAAGAUUAGGCGGGUCUAGCCGGUAAUAUGCAUGCCUAGACGGCGAUGUUAAGUCUCCUGAACCUGGGGUAAAAGAUGUUGCAGAGUCGGGAGGAAAAAGAUGGUCCUGUGGGGACCACAUCUUCUUUUUCAAUUUAAAUGGACGGCAUUAUUUUUUCAUGGUCCCACCAUCUCUACAUUGGUUGCACGUUUGUUGACAUUCUUGUUUUUAAUAAUCUCAUGUUCUCGUUUAUGAUCUUGAGUAAUACUAAGAAGGUUAAAAUAUAAAGUUAAAUUUGUAAAUUAAAUGAUAUGUCAUCGAUAAAAUGACACGGAGAAUAAUAUAAUUUGGUUACAUUUUAAAUAAGCAAAUAUAUUUUAGAAAUGUUAUCAAUGACAUAAAUCACUGCAAAACCAAACCGUAGCACACAAAUCAUCCCUGCUAAAACAGCUAAAAUCACACAAGUUUACAAACAUUGGGAUAAAAUCCAUAGUUAUUCAUGUUAAAUAUCAUUACAAUAAGUUGAUUUUUGUUGGCUGCAGCCAUCCAACUACUAUGUUCCUUCAGCGCCCAAUGUUGGAUUUUCGAAGGCGAAGAAACUCCAGACAGUCUCCUUUUUGGCCUUGCUGCAGCUGCUGCUACUACUGUGUUACCACUUGGAAAUUGGAUGCUCAGAUUUCCCGUGCAUGCUGCGACUCUUGCCCGAGCAUUCUCGAAGACAAUCACCGCAUAAACUUCAAUCGGAAAUCACAAAUUUGCAUGCAAAACACGCAAUGAGACAUCACAAUCGUCACAAAUUUGAAGUUUAACUCCACUACCAUUCUUUCAACACCAAUUUAGAACGGAACUUCACUACGUCACUUAAAAAUAAUAAAAGUUUUUAUCACAAAUGAUCCUUAAAAUUAACCCACAAGAGCAAGAUGGUCUCUGAAAUUGAAAAUCGAUCAAUGUAAUUCUUGAAAAUAGGUGUCACAAAAUUAAUAUGGUCAUUUCAUCACAAUUUUAUUAUGCGUUGAUGUGGUUUAAUAAUUAAUUAAGAAAGUUGUGAAAACAUCUUUUUGCACAUUGAGAUUAUCUCAAAACAGAGCUUGUCAUUCUGCGCAUCACGAAGAUCACUGGGGAGCGCCCAACAAGCUCUCCAAGAUUAAGAUUGAGGUUGUCGAUCGCCCAAAUAUUAAUUGUAGAGCCACAAAAAUCGUCAUCAAAAGGUGGUCUCGAUCCGGGUCAAAUUCGAUGAAGGGUGUCGAAGGUUGUAAAGAUUGAUGUCUUGGGAAUUUUCUUUUUCAGAGAAGGGACAGUGAAGGCUAUCACAAAUAGAGGUAGAGGAGUAUCAGAUGGAAUCAGAGAUGAUUACCGGGAUCGAGUCUCUGGGUUGACAACUUUUUAAUUAAAUUUUAAAUUAUUACACAUAUUUCUAAUUCAUUUUUUUAUUUAGUUAGUUUGCCACACCAGUACAUAACAAAAAUCUUUGACAUAAUUACGACGGAAUGACCACAUUGAUUUGUUACAUCAAUUUUAGGACUACAUUGAUUAAUUUGCAAUUUUGGAACCAUAUUGAUGGUGUGGAUCAAUUUCAGAGAUCAUUUGUGGUAAAAGAAAAAAAAAGACUUGUGGGACACAUAACAUAAUUUAGACGGAAUGACCAAAUUGAUUUGCAACACCUAUUUAGAAGGACUAUAUUGAUUGAUUCAAUUUCAAGGAUCAUCUUAAUGAUGUGGACCAAUUUCAUGAACUAUUUGUGAUAUAAACCUAUAUAUAUUUUUUAUAAAAUGCCUAAGUCCUCGUGGUGAUAAGGUAUUUGCAAGAUAGCUCAUGGUAAGGAAAUUCGGAUUUAAACUUUUGGAAUAAAGUCCGUUAGGAUUUUAGUCCAAAAAACAAAUUUCCGUUAUCUCUGUUAACCUCAAAAACAAAACUUCGUAUUUCUAUGAAUUUCUGCACUGCCUUUAUUAUGGCUCAAUAGAAAUGCUCCCAUUUUUUGUUUUUUUUGUUUUUUAAUAGAAAUGCUCCCAUGAUUAAUCCAAUCAAGUAAAAAUGUAAUUCUAUACCGAUCCCUUGUGGUUUGUUUAUUCCUAAGUUGUUUUCGUGCAUGUUUUGGAGAGUAUGGAGGCUCUGCAUCUGUCUGUAAUGGCCAGCCCCUCCAUCUCCUUCUCUAUGAUCUCAUUUCUGUUUCUACAUGAUGUGAGAUGACAUUGAAGAACCAGUAAGGCCCUUUUUAACAAUUAAAAAUCAAGGCCCUCUUUCUAUUCAAAACACACGUGGAAAAAGAGGGGCAAUGAUUACUGAUUGAAUAUGAAGAUUUUUUUCAACCAUGAGUAAAUUUCCAGUGAGCCAUAAACAGGAGAAGGAACACCAAUGAAGGAGGAACACAAUGAAAAUGCACGAAAGUAACAAAUGAUGAAGGGGAGCAAAGCCCAACGGGACAUAAUGAGUUAACUGUAGCCACAUGCAGGGAAAUGUACGAAGCGUGAAUAUAGAGACUCAUGAUUCCUAACCCUUAAGAAAAGGGAAGCUUAAUGGAGAAACUAACAAAAAUUUUGAUUUUGGUCUUAAUUCCUAAUGUAUUUCACCACAAGGGUUUAAAUCAUUUUUCUUUUAUUUUAUUUUUUAUUUUUUUAUUUUUACCACAUGAACUAUCUUCAGAAUACUCUAUUACCACGAUGAUCAUUUAUUAAAUUAGGCCUUUAUAAAAUGUUAGUUCGGUUUAGAAUUACUGAACAAAGGCAUAUGAGAUCCUGAAUCCGGUACCGUACGAACUUUUUGUAGAAAAAGAAUAUGUGGAUGAAAAAGUAUAUUUCAUUAAUACGUGAAUACCAAUAUAUACAAUCACAUUCCUUGCACACCAAGGUAUUAACCCUACAAGUUAGGGAUACAAAUUAGGAAUACAAAUAUAAUUAGGAUUACAAUCAACUAAUACUUCUAUUUGUCUAACACUCCCCCUCAAGCUGGAGAGUGGAUGUCAAGAACUCCCAACUUGCGUAACAUAGUCGAAAACUUGUCCUUCCCGAGAGGCUUGGUGAACAAAUCUGCCAAUUGGUGCGCCAUACCCACAAACUUGGUUGCUAUAGUUCCAUCUGCAAUCUUAUCUCGUAUAAAGUGACAAUCCAUCUCAAUAUGACGAGUUCGUUCAUGAAAAACAAGAUUAGCUGCUAUAUGUAACGCUGCUUGAUUAUCGCAAAACAAGACGGAAGGACUUCCUAAAGGAAUGUUCAAAUCCUUCAACAAAAAACGAAGCCAAAUUAACUCACAACAAGCACCUGCCAUAGCCCUGUAUUCUGCCUCAGCUGAAGAAAGUGAAACAGUUUUCUGACGCUUUGUCCGCCACGAAAUCAAAGAAUUUCCCAAGAAUACACAAUACCCAGUAGUCGAACGGCGAGUGAUAGGACAACCUGCCCAAUCAGAGUCACAGAAAGCAGCUAAUUUGGUUUGAUUGUCAGAACUAAAUAAUAAGCCUUGACCUGGAGUAGACUUCAAAUAACGAACAACACGAAGUGCAGCAUCCAUAUGAGGUACACGUGGCUCGUGCAUAAACCGACUCAAAACAUGCACGGAAUAAGUGAUAUCCGGCCGAGUUAUAGUAUAAGGUAGAUUAGCCGUCCUAUUAAACGCCGAUACUUUUCAGGAUCUUUGAGAAGUUCUCCUUUAUCAGAUAAUUUAGUAUCAUCCAUAGGAAAAGCAAUGGGCCGUGCUCCCAGAAAACCAUAAUCCUUGAGAAUCUCUAAUGCAUACUUACGCUGUGAAAUAUAAAUCCCACGUUGGGAUCGAGAAACCUCAAUACCCAAAAAAUAUUUUAAAUCACCAAGGUCUUUUAUCCGAAAAUGGUCACGGAGAAAAGAUUUCAAAGCAUUGAUGGCACUGACGUCGUUGCCUGUAAUCACAAUAUCAUCCACAUAAAUGAGUAAGGAUGUGAAGGAAUUACCGGACUUUCUGGUGAACAAUGAAUAAUCAGCUUUGGACUGUUGAAAACCAGCAGAAAGAAUGGCACUAGUGAACUUGGCAAACCAUUGGCGAGAAGCUUGCUUGAAACCGUAAAGAGAUUUGUGAAGGCGACACACAAGAUUCUCCCCCUGUCGCAGAAGACCAGGAGAAUGAGACAUAUAAAUUUCCUUAUGUAAAUCACCAUGCAAGAAAGCAUUAUUAACAUCGAGCUGAUGAAGAGACCAAGACUGACUAGCAGCAAGGGCAAGAAGACAACGUACUGUAAUCAUCUUAGCAGUAGGAGAAAAUGUGUCAUGAUAAUCAAUACCAGCAGCUUGAGUGAAGCCCUUAGCAACCAAGCGAGCUUUAUAACGCUCUAUGGAACCGUCAGAGUUAUGCUUCAGUUUGUACACCCACUUACAAGCAAUAGGAACUUUGCCAGGGGGCAAGGGAGUCAAUGUCCAAGUACCAUUGGCAUGUAAAGCCUCAAGUUCGUCAGCCAUGGCCCGACGCCAAUUAGGAUCACGAGCAGCCUCUGCAAAAGAAGAUGGCUCCAAACUCCGACUGACGGAGUAAAUAUAUGAAAGAUGGGGUGGAGAGAUGCGGUGGUAAGAAAUAAAGUUACAAAGAGGAUAUCGUGUACCUUUGACAGAACCGGGCUGCGAAGUCGACGAAGGGUGUGGAGGCAGAAUCACCUGCGAGCAAACAUAAUCCUUUAAAUAUUUGGGAGGGUUGUGGGUGCGGGAAGAAGUGCGGGUAGAAGGAUUGGCAGUGGGUAGUGACUGAGGAGGGGGGACCGUGAGGGUGGGGGAAGGAGUGGGGUUGUCGGUGGAAGAGGGAAUAGGUGGGGCCGAUUGGGAAAGGGUAUUAGUGGGGGACGGGAAAGGUGAGAUGGAAAUGGGGUGGGGUGGAGAUGUGGUAUAUGGAAUAGGGGACGGAUGGAUAGGUGAUGUGGCAGGUGAGGGAGGAGAGAAAUGACACGUGGGUCGGGGAGAUGGUGGGUAAGAAAUAUCUGGGGAAGGUGGAAAAGACAGAGGAGGGGUGAUGGGUGGUGUAGGUGGGGGCGUGGCAGCAAAAGGAAAAGUGUUUUCAUGAAAAAUUACAUCGCGACUGGUGAAGGUGCGGUGGGUUUCUAAGUCAUAUAAUUUGUAAGCUUUUUGACCAUGAGGAUAACCAAUGAAGGUGCAUCGAUGGGCCCGAGGGGAAAAUUUAAUGGUAGGGUUGAUGGAAGUGGCAUAAGCGAGACAACCGAAGACACGGAAGUGGUCAUAGGAUGGGGGUUGAGUAUGGAGGACCUCAAAAGGAGAUUUAUUAUGCAAAAGUCGAGUAGGGAGACGAUUGAUGGUAUAGGCAGCGGUAAGGACACAUUCACCCCAAAAUUUGAGUGGAAGAUGGGAUUGAAAUCGAAUGGCGCGAGCGGUUUCAAGAAGGUGCCUAUGUUUGCGUUCAACAACGCCAUUUUGUUGGGGGGUGUAGACACAUGAAGUUUGAAAAAGAACCCCAUUAUCAGAAAAAAAAUUGCGAAGAGAAAUAAAUUCUCCGCCAUUAUCGGUACGAAUGCUUUGAACCUUUGUGUGAAAUUGGGUUUGAACAUAUGCAAAAAAUUGUUUGAUGAUGGGUUGAGUAUCAUAUUUAUGUUGCAUGAGAAAUACCCACGUAAAGCGGGAAAAAUCAUCCACAAUAGUCAAAAAAUAAUGAGCGCCAGUAAGGGAAGAUUGACGAUUCGGACCCCAAAUAUCACAAUGAAUUAAAGCAAAAGGAAAAGUUGUUGAAAUUGAACUUAAACCAAAAGGUUGACGGGUUUGUUUGGCCAGAGGACAAACAUCACAAACAUGACUAGAAUCUAAGGGACAAUUAAGGAAAGUAGAUGCUAGAACUUGCAGACUGCGAGAAGAAAGGUGACCAAGACGCCGAUGCCAUAAGGGAGAAGGUAUAGUGAUGAUGUUGCAUAGAGGUUGACGGGUGGGGAGAGAGGAUGCAAGGGCCACAAGGUAAUAAAGGUCGCCACAUCGCUUACCCACACCAAUCGUCACCUUCGAAACCAAGUCCUGCAAAACACACCAAGAAGGAAAAAAGGUUAUGGAACACGAUAAACCAUCUGUAAGCUUACCAACCGAUAAAAGGUCCACUUUAAAAUUAGGGACACAUAAAACAUCGUCCAAAUCAAUCGAGGAAUUUAAACGAAUAGUUCCAGUUAAAGUAAUGGGAGCGGUGGCACCACUAGGCAGAGAAACGGGUGGCAAGUGCGACGUAGAAGUAUUAACCAAACACGAAGCAGAAGAAGUGAUAUGAUUCGUGGCGCCGCUGUCAAUGAUCCAUUGACCAUGACAAGAAGCCACGGGUAACAAACCUUGGGCAAAAUCAGUACUGGUAACGGCAUGGGCCUGAGGAGGUGGUGGCGCAUUGAGAGCGGCAAGAAGGCGGGAAUGUUGCUCGGCAGAAAGAUUAGGCAUGGCAACCUGCAAUUCAUGCAGAGUGGGCUGACUGUUCACAUGAUGGGCGGAUGGGCCAGGUUGUGAUGGGCCGUUGGGGCCUAAGGGGGACCGAGAAACACCAUUAGUGAUGCGGGCAGAAGACGCAGCGACGCUGCUACGGCCAGAAGAAGCAGAUCCACUGCUGCGCACAGAACCAGUAGAAGUCGAAUGGCGGCGAGGUGGUCUCCACGGCUGACCAUGAAGGGGAUGGCCAACGGGAUACCCAUGCAGUUUAUGGCAAGUGUCACGGGUGUGGAAGUCAUAAUCACAAUAGGUGCAAUGGAGAGGGGGUCGGUCGGACGAAGAUCGAGAAGAGCUCCGUACAACCAUGGCAGCGGGGAGGGGUCGGCAGGACGUGAAGAACCUAUGGCGCGCUGCUUUUCAGCCUGAGAAACAGAUGAACAGGCCUGGCGGACAGUGGGCAAAGGGUUCAUCAAAAGAAUUUGGUCCCGGACGAUGGCAAACGAAUCGUUAAGACCCAUAAGAAAUUGCAUCAGGUGCUGACGAUCAUGUUUGGUGCCACAAGAACAAGAACAUGCAUCACUAUAGGAGGCGAGCUCGUCCCAAAGCCCUUUCAGGCGAGUAAAGUACGCAGAGACGGAGGAGGACCCUUGGGAGAUGGUGGCAAUUUCACGAUUCAGAUGGAAGAUACGGGGAGCGUUGCUCUGGGAGAAACGCUCACACAGGUCAUCCCAAACAGCCUUGGCAGUAGUGGAAAAAAGAACCGAGUCGGCAAGAUCAGGCUCCAGGGAAGAAAGGAUCCAGGAAAUGAUCAUAUCGUUGCAGCGCCUCCAGGAAGCAUGAGCAUCAGGGUCCUCGGAAGCAGAAGGUUCUUUAAUGUCUCCCGUAAUAAAACCAAGUUUAUUCUUGGCGCUUAAGGAGAUGUGCAUCCCGCGUGCCCAGGUCGUGUAGUUAUCUCCGUUUAACCUCUUGGAGACAAGAACAAGAUUGGGAUGGUCGGAAUGGUGAAGAUAAAANNNNNNNNNNNNNNNNNNNNNNNNNNNNNNNNNNNNNNNNNNNNNNNNNNNNNNNNNNNNNNNNNNNNNNNNNNNNNNNNNNNNNNNNNNNNNNNNNNNNNNNNNNNNNNNNNNNNNNNNNNNNNNNNNNNNNNNNNNNNNNNNNNNNNNNNNNNNNNNNNNNNNNNNNNNNNNNNNNNNNNNNNNNNNNNNNNNNNNNNNNNNNNNNNNNNNNNNNNNNNNNNNNNNNNNNNNNNNNNNNNNNNNNNNNNNNNNNNNNNNNNNNNNNNNNNNNNNNNNNNNNNNNNNNNNNNNNNNNNNNNNNNNNNNNNNNNNNNNNNNNNNNNNNNNNNNNNNNNNNNNNNNNNNNNNNNNNNNNNNNNNNNNNNNNNNNNNNNNNNNNNNNNNNNNNNNNNNNNNNNNNNNNNNNNNNNNNNNNNNNNNNNNNNNNNNNNNNNNNNNNNNNNNNNNNNNNNNNNNNNNNNNNNNNNNNNNNNNNNNNNNNNNNNNNNNNNNNNNNNUGGUCGAGGUCAUCUCAUCAGCUUUCUCGGCGAAGUGAAGUGUUACAGUUUAUUGGGCUCGACACAUUACACGCCGAGUUUAUGUUAUGAUUGGAUACUCUCAAGUGGGAUUUAGAGUUCGGCAUUCCGAUGGCUGAACCACUUUUACCAUUAAGACUUAUGUCCGCUUUGAGUAUUUGUGCCCUUACACUUUGGUGUCGAUUCGGCGUGAGUUUACUCUGACGAAUACCAUCACUGUGACCGAAUCUGACGACGACGAUUCGUGAACUUCGUAAGAAUAGUAGCCUUGUCUUCAGGUUCGAGAACCCAAGAGACCGAGACAUGUUCCUUCCUCGGUCGCAAUCGCAAGACGCAGAAGUCGGCCGCGCACCCAACGCAACGCAACAUCACACAAUUUUACUCCUCGGCCAAGCUCGGCCGACGAGUUGGCACGCCCCGCAUUCAAUCGAAUGACGUAGUUAGCUCAUAGAUUACUCGGCAUGCGCGCCACGUAGGCUUGGUAGUUUUUAGGGUCAACAUUAAGACUUUGGAAUAAAUUCGAUCUCUUUGGGACCAUAUCGGUGCUUCAAUGCUAUACUAUCAUUCAAUUCGUAUACUUGCGAGUACUAAAAUUCAAGACUUAAUGAGGUUAAUUUUGGAUAUCUAAUUUUCGCAACAAACCACCUCAAAGCCCUUUUGAAUAUAUGUCGCUUCUGCCUCCGCCAUUAAACUAGAUUCUUAUGGCAGGUCAGCACCGUCGCCUGCACCCUGAAAAAUACCAACAUAAUCUCUUACCUUGGUGAAGCCAGGAAUUGUCAUCGGGGGUGGGGGGGAGAACUUAGAAAAAGAGAGCGAGGUUCGAAAGAAUGACAACAACCAAAUCCUUUUAUAUAGUAAUGUCUUUCAUAAUUUAUCAAUACAAUAUAAUUUAGUACAUUAAUUUAACCCAUUCAUAUAGACAAAAUCCAAAGGAUAUAUACGAUAUACGAUUAAAAUAUAUGAAAAUAUGCACACAUCAUGGUUCAGAUAGAAUCGGACUCCAAAUGUCUAGUGGAAAUGCUUAACGAAAAAACUCAACUUGACGUUGUGAUUGAAGGCAUUCUCUUUGAUGUUCAGUGCUUGAAACAACAGUUGAGGUCAGUAGAAUUUAUCUUCGCUCCUCAUGUUUGCAAUAAAGCAGCGCAUCUAGUGGCUUCUUUUGUUGCCCAGAAAUGAGGCUUUCAUAAUUGAGAUGGUCUUAAGUCAGAAUAGCUAUUUAAUACUUUGGCUUCAUAGUAAACAUUUUCAUUCGAAUAUAAUCAAAUUGCUUUCUUUUAGAAAAAAAAAUAAGAAAAGUAAAAAAGAGGUUUGUCUAGGGUGUAAAAAAAAUACCGAAAAUUCCAAACCAUACGAAACCGAACCAAAACCAAACCGAUCCCGAAUUAUUCGGUAUGAGAUUCGGUCUCACAUCUUAGCAUCAUUCGGUAUCCAUGUCCCGAACCGAACUUUAAUAAAUAUAUUUUACAUAUAUACAUAUAUGUUGGAAUAUCUAUAAUGGGCCUAUUAUAUAUUAUUAAAAUAAGCAAAGUGUGCAGAAAAGCACAUGAUGUGUUGUGUGUUGCCUAAAUUUCUAUCAAGCAAACAUAUCUAUAAUGGCCUAUUAUAUCAUAUUAAAAUAAGUACAGUGUGCAAAAAAGCAUAUGGGUGCUGUCUAUAGAUACAUCCCUACUCAUUCUCUCUCUCAUCUUUACCUUCACCAAGAGUCUCAGACUCUUUUUCUGUCUUUUCUCUCAAAUUUGAAGCUCAAAGGCCACCCACCCACCCAUCCUCCCAUAAUCUGACUUCAUCCAACUCUCUCCACUCUGGCCACCACCACACCUUACUGCUUCAUCCCUACCUCCGAUUCUCUCCGAUUCUCAUUCUCUCCAGCGAUUCUCUAUGUGUGUGGGGUUUCAAAUUAAGGUUAGGGUUUUAAAUUGGGGUUUAGGGUUUCGAAUUGAGGGCUCGGAUCAUGAGGAAGAUACAGGUCUGACUAUUUCUUUACUCUGUCUCUUUUCUCUCUCUCUCAACCUUCAAUCUUCACUGAUUCACUCAUUGUCUCUGAUUUUAAAUUAGAGUUUUAAUGUAGGUUUAGAUGAUUUCAAGUUCGGUUUUGGGAAUUUCGAAAUACGAAAAUAUUUUGGGAAUCCCAAACUUCGGGAAUACCAAAAUUUUAGUUUGGGAUCAGUCGUCAGAUUUCCGUCUCGAAAAUAGUCAGUUUGGGACUUGAUAUGCCGUUUUCAGUUUGGUAUCCCAUACCAAACCAGCCCUAGGUUUGUCAAGUCAAAGGAACAAGUUGUUGGCCACGUAAGCACUUAGCCAAGUAAAAAAGAAAAAAAAAGUAGUAAUGAACUAUUGUGGCCUUGCACAUGCGAUAAGGUAUUCCAAUCGAGUGCUUAACUGUUUUGUAAAAUCAUUUCAAUAAGGGGUUUUAUAUGAGGUUAGAAAAGUGGUUGAUACAGUUCAAUUUUUUAAACUCUAAGAAAUUUUUUGGGGCUUUAAGAGCAUCUUCAAUAAGGGCUUUAUUCUCCAUGAGACUACUACAUUUCAAGUCUUAGUGAGAAAUUUCAUCUCUAAUGAGCCGAAAAAUUGGGCUGGAUCCAUCAACCAGGCUAGCAACUUCCUUUCUUAGGUAGCAUAAAAUUAGGCUACAUCUAGCCCCAAAAUCCAGUGGGUCCCAUAAAAAAAGUAGCAACCUAUGUGAGCAAAAUUAUAUCACUCUCCCUCCACUUGCGAAUACACUUAGAGCCUAUUUGUUUGCUUUCACUAAGUCUCGUUGGACUAGACUAGACUAAAGGUUAGUCCAAUCUUUUGUUUGUUAUCAACAUGAGACUAGCUUUACUGGGACUAAAGUUCACUCGCUCCGACUAAAACCUUGCUUAGCCGGUCCUAGCGAGGCCCCCCAACCACCUUGGGACUAGCCAAGACCGUUUUCCCUCUCAUGCCGCGUCCUCAUGCUCAUCAUGCAUGACUACGCCAUUUAUAAUGACAACGACGUGUCCUCAUGUUGUCGUCAUUUCGUCUUCGUCUCAAAGUUCAAACCACUGGAAGUAUGAGGUGUUCCUUAGCUUAGGCGACGACACACGCACUACCUUCAUAGACCACAUUUCCAUUGCGUUAUGCGAUGCCGGAAUUAAUACGUUUGUGGACUACCAGCUCAGAAGGGAGGAAAAUAUACAGAGCGAACUUGACGGAGAAUUCGAAGGGUCGAGGAUCAAUCUCGUCAUCUUCUCAAAGAGGUAUGCAGAGUCCGGAUGUUACCUGAGCAAGCCGUCAAAGAUCAUGAGGUGUCGAGAGAAGACCAAGAGGUGAAAGUAGUAUAUCCAAUAUUCUACGACGUUCACUCUUCUCAAAAUAGAGUGGUAGUUUUGGAGAAGCAUUUCAGAAGCAUGAAAAGGAUGACAGUGAGGAAACGAGUCGUCAUUAAAGAUGGAGCAGUCAUGCAGGACGAGCAUGAGGACACGGUGUGAGAGGGAAGACGGUUUUAGCUAGUCCCAAGGUAUUUGGGGGGCCUCGCUAGGACCAGCUUAGCAAUGUUUUAGUCAGAGCAAGUAAACUUUAGUCCCACUAAAGCUAGUCUCAUGCUGAUAACAAACACAAAAUUGGACUAACCUUUAGUCUAGUCUAGUCCAACGAGAAAUAGUGAGGGCAAAAAAGGGGCUCUAAGUAUAUUUGCAAAUGAAGGGAGAGUGAUAUAAUUUUGCUCACAUAGGUUGCUACUUUUUUUAUGGGACCCACUCGAUUUUGGGGCUAGAUAUAGCCCAAUUUUAAGCUAACUAAGAAAGGAAGUUGCUAGUCCGAGUAGUGGAUCUAACCCAAUUUUUCGGCUCAUUUGAGAUGAAAUUUCUCACUAAGACUUGAAAUGUAGUAGUCUCAUGGAGAAUAAAGCCCUUAUUGGAGAUGCUCUUAAAGCCCCAAAAAUUUCUUAGAGUUUAAAUUGAACUGUAUCUACCACUUUUCUAACCUCAUAUAAAACCCCUCAUUGAAAUGCUUUUACAAACAAGUUAAGCACUCGGUUGGAAUACCUUGUUGUGCGUGCAAGGCCACAACAAUUCACUACUACUUUUUUUUUCUUUUUUACUUGGCUAAGUGCUUACGUUGCCAACAACUUGUCACUUUGACUUGACAAACCUAGGGCUGGUUUGGUAUGGGAUACUGAACCGAAAACGGCAUAUCAAGUCCCAAACCGACUAUUUUUGGGACGAAAAUUUGACGACUGAUCCCAAACUAACAUUUCGGUAUUCCCGAAAUUUGGGAUUCCUUAAAUAUUUUCGUAUUUCGAAAUUCUCGAAACCGAACCUGAAAUCAUCUGAACCUGCAUUAAAACCCUAAUUUAAAAUUAGAGACAAUGAGUGAAUCAGUGAAGAUUGAAUGUCGAGAGAAAGGGAGACAGAGUAAAGAGAUAGUCAGACCUACAUCUUCCUUUGGACCCGAGCCCCUAAUUAGAAACCCUAAACCCCAAUUUGAAACCGUAAACCUUAAUUUGAAACCUCACACAUACAGAGAAUCACUGGAGAGAAUCGGAUGAGGGGAUGAAACAGUAAGGUGUGGUGGUGGCCAGAAUGGAGAGAGUUGAUUAAAGUCUGUUGAUGCGCAAAAACAGUGAGGACUUUGGUAUAAUAGAAAGUGUCAAGUUUGUGACCUUCGCUAGAUUGCUCCGGUCACUAGUGUGGAUAAGUAUGUAAAUGGAUAGAGACAUUGAAGCAAACACAAGAUGUAUGUGGUUCACCCAGAUUGGCUACGUCCACGGAGUAGAGGAGUUCUCAUUAAUUGUGAAGGGUUUACAUAAGUACAUAGGUUUAGUGAGUACUAGUGAAUGAUUUAGUACAAAUGACAUUAGAGAUUAUUGUGGGAGAAUGAUCUCCUUUUAUAGAAGAGAGUUUCUAGCUUUGUUCUGGCCUUGACACGUGUCAUGCUGUGAUUGGCCUUUGAUGUUGACAUGUGUCGCCCUGUGAUUGGCCUCUUAGUGUUGACACAUGUUGCGCUAUGAUUGGCCUCCUGGUUGGAGAGAAACUCUUAUGGGUCCUUGAUGGUAUAUAGCGUUGACCGGUGCUUGGUAGUUUCGGGAUUUGUCAAGUAUGGUACAAACAAAGUCAGAUUGUGGGAAGAUGGGUGGGUGGAUGGCCUUUGAGCUUCAAAUUCGAGAGAAAAGACAGAAAGAGUCUGAGACUCUUGGUGAAGGUAAGGAUGAGAGAGAAUGAGUAGGGAUGUAUCUAUAGACAGCACCCAUAUGCUUUUCUGCACACUGUACUUAUUUUAAUAUGAUAUAAUAGGCCAUUAUAGAUAUGUUUGCUUGAUAGAAAUUUAGGCAACACACAACACAUCAUGUGCUUUUCUGCACACUUUGCUUAUUUUAAUAAUAUAUAAUAGGCCCAUUAUAGAUAUUUCAACAUAUAUGUAUAUAUGUAAAAUAUAUUUAUUAAAGUUCGGUUCGGGACAUGGAUACCGAAUGAUGCUAAGAUGUGAGACCGAAUCUCAUACCGAAUAAUUCGGGAUCGGUUUGGUUUUGGUUCGGUUUCGUAUGGUUUGGAAUUUUCGGUAUUUUUUUACACCCCUAGACAAACCUCUUUUUUACUUUUCUUAUUUUUUUUCUAAAAGAAAGCAAUUUGAUUAUAUUCGAAUGAAAAUGUUUACUAUGAAGCCAAAGUAUUAAAUAGCUAUUCUGACUUAAGACCAUCUCAAUUAUGAAAGCCUCAUUUCUGGGCAACAAAAGAAGCCACUAGAUGCGCUGCUUUAUUGCAAAAACAUGAGGAGCGAAGAUAAAUUCUACUGACCUCAACUGUUGUUUCAAGCACUGAACAUCAAAGAGAAUGCCUUCAAUCACAACGUCAAGUUGAGUUUUUUCGUUAAGCAUUUCCACUAGACAUUUGGAGUCCGAUUCUAUCUGAACCAUGAUGUGUGCAUAUUUUCAUAUAUUUUAAUCGUAUAUAUCCUUUGGAUUUUGUCUAUAUGAAUGGGUUAAAUUAAUGUUAAUUACUAAAUUUAUAUUGUAUUGAUAAAUUAUGAAAGACAUUACUAUAUAAAAGGAUUUGGUUGUUGUCAUUCUUUCGAACCUCGCUCUCUUUUAAGUUCUCCCCCCCCCCCACCUCGAUGACAAUUCCUGGCUUCACCAAGGUAAGAGAUUAUGUUGGUAUUUUUCAGGGUGCAGGCGACGGUGCUGACCUGCCAUAAGAAUCUAGUUUAAUGGCGGAGGCAGAAGCAACAUAUAUUCAAAAAGGCUUUGAGGUGGUUUGUUGCGAAAAUUAGAUAUCCAAAAUUAACCUCAUUAAGUCUCGAAUUUUAGUACUCGCAAGUAUACGAAUUGAAUGAUAGUAUAGCAUUGAAGCAUCGAUAUGGUCCCAAAGAGAUCGAAUUUAUUCCAAAGUCUUAAUGUUGACCCUAAAAACUACCAAGCCUACGUGGCGCGCAUGCCGAGUAAUCUAUGAGCUAACUACGUCAUUCGAUUGAAUGCGAGGCGUGCCAACUCGUCGGCCGAGCUUGGCCGAGGAGUAAAAUUUGUUGAUGUUGCGUUGGGUGUGCGGCCGACUUCUGCAUCUUGCGAUUGCGACCGAGGAAGGAAUAUGUCUCGGUCUCUUGGGUUCUCGAACCUGAAGACAAGGCUACUAUUCUUACGAAGUUCACGAAUCGUCGUCGUCAGAUUCGGUCACAGUGAUGGUAUUCGUCAGAGUAAACUCACGCCGAAUCGACACCAAAGUGUAAGGGCAUAAAUACUCAAAGCGGACAUAAGUCUUAAUAGUAAAAGUGGUUCAGCCGUCGGAAUGCCGAACUCUAAAUCCCACUUGAGAGUAUCCAAUCAUAACAUAAACUCGGCAUGUAUGUAAUGUGCCGAGCCCAAUAAACUGUAACACUUCACUUCGCCGAGAAAGCUGAUGAGAUGACCUCGACCAAUAAGGAUUCGGAAAUCCUUCUCGACCGAGACUUGGAUAGAUAAUCAGUCGCCCUCGUUGCAGUGCUGUUUAUCCAAACUGAAGGUGCUUCGCGGUCGGCUGAUUUUACGGCAACAGUGCUGUUUAUCUAAACUUAAGGUGUUUGCCGGUUGCCUUCACAGUGCUGUUUAUCCAAACUGAAGAUGUGUCGGCGAAAAGAUAAAGGAAAAAAUCUCAAGGUUGUUGAGAGAGUUUGCGCAGGGCAGUUGUGUGUUGAAUUGGAUGAGGCUUUUUUUUUUUUGUUCGCGGUACUGUAUUUAUAGAAGAAGAGAAAAUCGUGUGCGCAACUCCCCACCAGUGUAGAAUUUGACUUCAAUUCAAACUUAUCAACUAGAACCUCAGUCAAAGACUUUUCAAGAUAAGCAGGAGAACCAUUCCGUCAUUCCUUAUCUUUAGAAACCGUGCCCUCAGAUUGUCUCCUAGUCCAAUUAGAACUUUAUGUCCACCAUAUUGAUCCAGGUGCAGCCAUGCACGCAAAAUAAGAUAGAAUAUAAUCCCCAAAAACUCUUUCACGUGGCCAAAACCAACAUACCAUCCAAAGGCAUAUAACUGCAUACAUCUUCCUCUGCUGCCGUGCCUUGUACAUACCCUCAUAUAUCCCGUCAUCAUCCAAAUCAAUUGAGAUUUAAUCAAAUAAUAAUUUAAUAUAUUACUAAGAGAUAACAUCAUGAUUAAAAAUCAUAAUAUUAUCCUUUAAUAAAAAUAUCUUCCCUUUUCCAUCCGACGGUUGAGAACUAUGCUUACUCAACGGCCUCAAUUACACAGGCCGAUGGUGUAAAUUUGGAUCCAAACACUUACUAACUAAAUUGAAACAAAUUACAAUUGAGAAGCUUUAACGAAAAAGAGAAAUGAUUUGAAUUUAACUAAAAUUUAAAUAAAGCUUGAAAAUAAUAAAUUGAAAACAUAAGAAAACUAGAUAUAGGGCAUCUGAAUUCACCGUAACCAAGUCUACUUAAUUCUCUUAAUAUGUUAUGCUCAAGUAGUUCUCCAAUAUUGAUGAUCAAUUUUCCUAAAUUAUUCAAUGGUCAUGACAUCUGGUUGCAUCAAAAGUAUCUUACAUGUGAACCCUAUAUGGCAUCUAGAUGGAUUUAAAUGGACUAGGAUUCUCUCCCCUCAUCUUUCCAUCACAUUCCAUCUCCUCCUCUCACACUCUUUAUUUUGUCUUUCUUUUUCUAUAAAAAAUUAAUAUAAGAUACUGACGUGGCUUAAUCGUGACCGUUCAAAUAGGAAGGGAGGGAAUGAGGGAAAAAAGAGAGGAGAGAAUCCUUCUCCGAUUUAAACAAGUAAGAACCCAUUAAGCUCUAUGGAAGUCAUUGGAAAAUCACACAAACCCUAAUUGCAUGACAUCUACAAAUAAGUGUUUAUGGUAUCAAUUGCAAGAAGCUAAACCCAAGUAUGGCAUCUACUCUAACUUGUAUCAAAUUAACUUAACUAAAACUUAGAUGGUGAUCAAGCAUCUAAAUAAAAAUCAAGCGCAUUACGAAUAGCAAAAGAUACUCAAUAUGGAAUAAAAACUUGAUAAUAACAAUGUCACAAGGCAAUUAAGUAUUUAUGAUCAGGCUACAUUAUAACCCUAGCAAAGAAAAACUCCAAAGUAGCUCUCCUCUUUGCCGCAACCAAAUGCCCCCAAACUAAUUUUGCUUGUCCUCGAGCAAACCAAAAUAAAACGCAAAACUCAAAAGAAACAAAUAGUAGCUAACUUCCCAAAUUAACAUAUUUUCAUAUAUGUUAGCUUGGUUUACUGCGUCAAUUAGUGCUUAUAUCUUUUGAUAAUUGAUAUAUAUGCGCGUGAAAUGAUGCGGUGGACGCUCAGGUGAGUUUAUUUAUUUCCAGCUGAGUUAUUUAUAUGAAUUGCAUUGAAAGCUCAUAACCUGCACCUAGGUGAUAGUGUUUAUAUUGUUAUUCACCACACCGCACGCUUGUCUUGGAUCCAAGUAUGUGGAUGUCGUACAGACCAUGUGAGGGUUCCGACAUGCCAGUCGUACAGACCAUUAGAGGGGUUCCGACUGGUGGAUGACCUUAGAUAUGCGUGCUGAUGAUUGAUGUGAGAAGCACUAGAGCGUAUUUAUACACCUGUCACCGUACAGACUACCUUAUGUAGUUCCGAGUGACGUGCAGAGUUAAACCGUACAGGUCACCGAGGUGACUCCGGUUGGAUGAGAUGUUGAGCUUUAGAAUCAGCCGUACAGGACCAUCGUAGGGUCUCCGGUUGACUUAGUAUUCACCUGAUUGAUAUUGAUUUACAUUCUGAUUAUAUUUUGGGCAUGGCAUACCGUUUUCUGUGAUAUAUUAUGAUGAUGAAAAUGUGCUGAGUUAUGAGGUUGAGUAUAUUUAUAUGUUUAUAUACUAUUUUCUGGGAAAGUAUACAGGUUUUUACGGCGAGGGGAUAUAAUUGUUUUAAUGAACUGUUUUGGAAAACUAAUUUGUUUUACUGACCCACUCAUUUUGUUUUGCGCCCCUCCAGGUUCUAGUUUAGCGGUGGUUGGCUCACGAGGUCCUUUUCCGGCUUUCUGACAGACCUUGGACAUGUAGGACUCACCUGAGGGUGAUGUAUUCUUAUUUUAGUCCUACUUGACUGCAGUUACCUAUGCUCUGAACUUAUGUGUUUGUAGUAUAACUCGUCCGGUUAUGUUCGUAGGUGGAUAUGUUUAAGUUGGUUUGAAUUUCAGCUGAUUUAUGUUCUUGUUUUGCUUCCGUGUCGCACCUUUGGUUACGUCACUCCCACGUGACGGCCAGCACACCUGGAUCCCCUGGAUCGGGGUGUGUCAGUUUUAAUAUUGUAUGUAAUUUGUUGUGAGACAUCACGCGAUGAGGCCCUUCAGUUUAAGAGGUUUUGCAAAACCUUUAGCAUAGAACAAAAAAAUGACCAGCCAAUGUUGGAGAUGAUUUGUUGGAACUAAAUAGACUAUAAAAUAGGUAAAGGUAGUAUGUUAGUGUGUGCAACUGCUUUUUACAAAAGGACAUUUAACGAAAAACUUAUGAUAUUGUUCACUUUAACGAAAAACCACAUUUUUACACUAAAAAGUCAAUUUUGGUACUAUUCAUUUUAUCCUUUAUUUUGUCCUUAUCGUUAAAACUCAAAAUUUUCAAGUCUUUUUUCAUUAGUUUUCAUUUUUACAAAAUAGGCGAUGGAUAGAGAGAAUGAGAGCCUACGAACCCUAAUGAGAUUGACCACUGAUUUGAUUGAUGGCUAAGAAUUAACAUCUCUUUUUUCUGUGACUUGAAGCACAAAUAGGUUUGAAACAAUAACAAAUUAAGAAAGCUCUUGAUAUUGGUGAUCUUAUAACUGGUAUAGGAUUAAAUCAAGAUAUUAGUCUCACGCGUCCUUGUGAUACACAGUGGAACUCACAUUAUGGUACUAUAGUUAGUGUUAUUGUUAUGUUUUAAGCCAUGGUGGAGGUGCUUGAAUGGAUUAAAGAUGAUGGCAACCAAGAUAAUUUCAGUGAAGCAAGUUCUUCCACGACAUACAAACUCUUGAUUUUGUGUUUCACCUUUUUUUUAUGAGACUUAUAUUGGGAAUUACAAAUGAGUUAUCACAAGCAUUACCAAAGAAAAUCAAGAUAUUGUGAAUGUGAUGACGUUAGUGGAAGUAUGCAAGCAAAGACUACAAUCCUUGAGAGAUGAUGACUUUGGGGACUUGCUUGAUGAUGUAUAAAAGUUUAGUGAGGAGCAUGAGAUUAUCGUUCCUAACAUGGAGGAUUUGCAUUUCUUACCCGAAAAAUCAAAGUGUAAAGCUCCAAGACUCACAAACUUCUUUACUAUCGUGUGAACCUCUAUUUUCAAGUUCUUGAUAUGCAACUAAAGGAAUUGAAUGAUCGCUUUAAUGAGGUAAACACCGAGUUGCUUCUUUGUAUGGCAUGUUUGAGUCCGGUAAAUAAUUUUGCAUCUUUUGACAAAGCAAAAAUUGUUUAUUUAGCCCAACUUUAUCCUCAAGAUUUUGAUCGUAUGGAACUCAUGAAUCUUCCAAUUCAACUUGAAAAUUACAUUCAUGAUAUGAAGAUGCAUAGUGAGUUUUCAUCAUUGAGAGGAAUUAGUAAUCUUGCAAAUGAGUUAGUGAAGACCAGGAGGCGUGUAAGCUAUAUGUUAGUGUAUAAGCUUCUUACAUUGGUUUUGGUGUUACCGGUUGCAACAGCUUCGGUGGAGAGAGCUUUCUGUUAUGAAGAUUGUGAAAACACCAUUGCAUAACAAAAUGGGAGAUCAAUGGUUGAGUGAUAGCGUGUUUGUUUACAUUGAGUGAGAUGUAUCUGCUUUUAUUGAUAAUGAGUCUGUUAUGCGAUGUUUUCAUGACAUGAAACCUCGCCGGCAACAAUUGUAAUUUGUUUGUAUUGAUAAAAGGAUUUGGUUGUUGUCACAUUCUUUUGAACCUUGCACUCUUUUAAGUUCGCCCUUCCCCCCAACAAUUCCCGGCAAUGGUCAUGGCAUCUGGUUGCAUCAAAAGUAUCUUACAUGUGAACCCUAUAUGGCAUCUAGAUGGAUUUAAAUGGACUAGGAUUCUCUCCCCUCAUCUUUCCAUCCCAUUCCAUCUCCUCCUCUCACACUCUUUAUUUUGUCUUUCUCUUUCUAUAAAAAAUUAAUAUAAGAUACUGACGUGGCUUAACCGUGACCGUUCAAAUAGGAAGGGAGGGAAUGAGGGAAAAAAGAGAGGAGAGAAUCCUUCUCCGAUUUAAACAAGUAAGAACCCAUUAAGCUCUAUGGAAGUCAUUGGAAAUCACACAAACCCUAAUUGCAUGACAUCUACAAAUAAGUGUUUAUGGUAUCAAUUGCAAGAAGCUAAACCCAAGUAUGGCAUCUACUCUAACUUGCAUCAAAUCAACUUAACUAAAACUUAGAUGGUGAUCAAGCAUCUAAAUAAAAAUCAAGCGCAUUACGAAUAGCAAAAGAUAAAAUAAAACUCCAAAGUAAAACCCUAGCAAAGAAAAACUCCAAAGUAGCUCUCCUCUUUGCCGCAACCAAAUGCCCCCAAACUAAUUUUGCUUGUCCUCGAGCAAACCAAAAUAAAACGCAAAACUCAAAAGAAACAAAUAGUAGCUAACUUCCCAAAUUAACAUAUUUUUCAUAUAUGUUAGCUUGGUUUACUGCGUCAAUUAGUGCUUAUAUCUUUUGGUAAACUUUCAUAACGAAUCAUAUUGAGUCAUAAUUUUUUUUUUUAACAUGUAUCAAUGACAUAACCCGCUGCAGAACCAAACUGUAGCACACAAUUCAUCACUGCUAUGACAGCUAAGACAUUCCAAAUCACACAAGUUUACAUACAUUGGGAUAAAACCCACAGUUAUUCAUUGUUAAAUAUAAUUACAAUAAGUUGAUUUUUGUUGGAUGCAACCAUCCAACUACUAUGAUCCUUCAGCGCCCAAUGUUGGAUUUUCUAAGGCGAAGAAACUCCAUACUCAAAAUCGUGGGCAUCGGCUGGAGAGAGAUUGUCUUCGCGUCUUGGGUUGAAGUGCGAGACCUUGAAGAAUAUGAGAACUGGAUCAUCUGGGUCCUCUUCUUCUUAUUAUUCUUUCUUCAAAUGCUUGUAACUCUUAUGGUUAGAGAGAAGCAGAGAAAGGAAAGAGAGAGGGAAAGAGGGGGCGACGAGAGACGGGGGAGAGGAGAAAGUGGGUGAAUCAAAGAAAAAAAGUAAUAGGUGAGGGAGAGAGAGAGGGGAGAGGAGAGAGUGGGGUGGGUGAAAAAGAGUAAUCUUUCUUUAUACCCAAAAGGAGAAAAAAGAUAAAAAAAGAAAAGAAAAAGUGCUGACUAGGCUAUGGGAAAGAAGUUACCGACAUCUCUCUUCCCUCCUCGGUUAUAAAUAGGGGGGUAUUUCAAAAAAAAAAAAAAACAGUAGUAGGAACUCUUGCCCACGCAACGAGGUAUUCCAACCGAGUGCUCGACUGACUUGUCUGUAAGUCUCUGGUUUUUGUUAGUGCGAUGAUGUCCCCAACAACAUUCUGGAUAAACAAUCCUUCACGCCUGCAAAUUGAGAGUCCAAAUUAUUCAAACAGAUGAUUCAUCAUAUCAUGCAACACCAAGAUUCAUAUGAACUAAACUAAUUCAUCAUAUAUGUUCAAUUAAGAAUUAUUUAGACGACCCUUAAGCUGACAUGACCAGACUGGUGGAUAACCCACUGGGAAUUUAUACAGAAAACGAGCCCUAUUACUUGCAACAACAUAAGGUUCCUGUGAGUAGAAGCUCUUCUUUGAUCAAUCAUCCAUGGCUUCCUCAGUUUUUUUUAUCAAUCGUCCAUGUGAUUAUUGAUCUGCUAAUGAAUUAGGCUUUGCUAUAUUUGUUCCAACAUCUGGUAUCAGAGCCAAUAAUAUUGGCUUCUCAUUAAUCCGUCAAGGCUGAUGCUUAUGUAAUUACUAAUCAUUAUUUUCUUCUUCUAAUUACUAAUUAUUAUAUUCUUCUUCUAAUCAUUAAUCUGAUUAUACAAGAUGUUCCAAGCGAUUAAAUUUUGUAAAAGAGGAAAUUUGAAUUUAUACCCGUCCGCCGUGGUUUUAAGAUUCCGGCCACACAAAUCUGCACAAGCCUUAAGGUCCCUUCUCCACUGCUCCACCUCAUCUGGAUCUUCAUCCCUUUCAUGCUUCCGAAAUGCUUCCCCAAAACUACCGCUCUGUUUCCUCACUUGAGAAGGGUCAACGUCGUAGAAUAUUGGAUAGACUACUUUCCCCUCUUGGUCUUCGCGGCACCUCAUGAUCUUCGACAGCUCGCUCAGGCAACAUCCGGCCUCCGCAUACCUCUUUGAGAAGACGACGACGGCGAUCCUCGACCCUUCGAUUUCUCCGUCAAGUUCGCUCGGUGUAUUUUCCUCCCUUCUGAGCUGGUAGUCUACAAACGUGUUAAUUCCGGCGUCGCGUAACGCAAUGGAGAGGUGGUCUGUGAAGGUAGUGCGUGUGUCGUCGCCUAAGCUGAGGAACACCUCGUACUUCCAGUGGUUUGAACGCCGAGACGAAGCGGCGGCGGCGGCGGCGGUUGCAUGGGCGGAUCUGCUGGUAUUCAUUGAUUUCAAGUAAAGAAGAGAAAAACUCCUGAUUGUUUCAGUCUAAAGAAAACAAGUAUUUCCCAAGAUUCCCAGUGAAACUCCUGAUUAUUUUUUGAAUAGCUGGAAGAUGUGAGAGCAAAGCAAAUUCAGGACCGCAGCUCUUUGUCUCGAUCUCGAUCUCGGUCAGAAUUGGCGGUGGAAAGAAGACGGAGAAAAAAAAGAUAAUUGGGGAGACGAAGAAAGAAGAGGGAGAGACAAUGCAAAAGCUGCGGCUGACAAGAAAAGAAGAAAGAAGGGAGAAGUUGUCUGCCCUCCACUUCGGUGUUCUUCCGUGCCAUUCUAUUUUGUGUGGUCACGUUUAAGACACGUCAACAUUUUAUAUUAUUUUUUUAUAGAUAUAAUAAGACAAAAAUGAAUAUUAAUAUAAAAUUUUAACAUGGCUUAACCGUGACCACACAAACAAAGGAUACGGGGAUGGCACCGAAAGUGGAGAGCAGACAAUUCUUGUCUAAAAAGAAUAUGCUAGCUAGGGUUUGUAGUAGAAGAGAUUUUUCAGUAUGUCCGGUAUAUUAGUUGGUAUAUUAGUUGGUAUAUUACGUAUCAUUAUAUAAAUGAUGAGAUAUGUGUUUUAAAAUGUUAAUAAAUUUUUUUAUCAUUUCUACACGUAAGGUAUCACUUGUAUUCUCACUUGUAUUCUUGUCGUAAUUAAAAAUUUCUAGUAUGAAGGCUUUUCUCAACGUGUGCUUCAAGUUUAGCUUUUUGUUAUAAAAUAUGUGAAUGCCCCAUACAGGCACUACACUUUGCUUCUUUGGCAUGCUUUGGUUUUUUGGCUUAUUCUUCUAAAGCAUGAUUCCUUUGGUUGAAAUGUUUGGUGUGGAAAUUAGGCUCCACUAAGAAAAUGUCAUUCCACUAGCUGCCAUUGAUUGCUCCUACUUUUCCCAUAAAUACAAGGCACACGGAAAGGAACAGGUGAUACACGGCAGAAAGAGAGAGGAAGAAGAAGAGGAAGAAGAGAUGGCAGAAUAGAAAUAGUUAUUUUUGUACACAUAUUAUUCUAGAUUAUAAAUGAAAGCAUCAGUGUUGUUCCGAUAACGUACUUCAGUCACAUUGACUGUAGAAGAAUCCCGUAAAUAUUGCGUCUUAUUUCAUUUAUUCUACUGCACACACAUCGUCAAUUUUACAACAUUUUUAACAUAUUUGUGUUUAGAAAUUAGUCUUCAAAUUGGGUAAAAACACAAAUACCUAAUAUAAAUAAAUAAAAUUAAUAUAUAUUCGGUUCAGUUCACUGAAACCGAAAUGGGUACAAAAAAUAAAUACCUAACAUAAAUAAAAUUAAGGGAGUUUUAACGAAAAGUCCACGGUACUGUUCACUUUAACGAAAAACCACAUUUUUACACUAAAAAGUCAAACCGGAUACUAUUCACUUUACCCUUUAUUUUGUCCUUAUCAUUAAAACUCAAAGUUUUCAAACCCUUUUCAUUAGUUUUCCUUAAAAUUAAUAUAUGUUCGGUUCGGUUCGGUUCUCUUUUUUAAUUUGGUUCAAUUUUUUUUUUGUUUGGUUUUUUCAAUUUCGAUUCGGUGUUUAGUUCGGUUUUUUUCGUUUGUCGGUUUUUUUAACGCACCCUUAGUUCACGACCUUAUUCUAUUUUAAGGGUGGUGCACAGGUUGGUUCAAUUGCUGUUGGUGGGCAUCAUGGGUUUAUGAACAAACAUGACAAGGUUGCAUUGGACAUGGCACAUGUUUGUGGGUUUUGCAUUGAUUGAAUUGUAUUUUAAAUGCAGACAGAUGAGCGAGAGUUUGGUGAUCAACGCUCCAAUUAGGACAAAGUCUGAGGACCAAUUUUUUUUUUUUUUUUUUUUAAAAUAAUAAUAAUAUGUCACUUAUGCGAUAUGUUAACAUUAAAAUCUUAUCAUAAUAAUUUAUAUGUAACGAGUUAAUAAUCACGUGACGUUUUUGUCACAGCCCGUCCCGGAGGUACUGUUGACGGGAAUGUGAAAUGACGAAAAUGCCCUUGACGUUACUAAGGUGCGUUGGUGAAAUGUUUUAGAUAUUUAUAUUUUCCUAACCUAUUGGAAAUGUUAUCUAAGUUGGAUAAAAUAUUAAAAGGUUGAUUUUGUUGUUUUGGCUAAGGAUUGAAAAAUGGAUGGUGUGGAUCAAUUGGGACCACACAGGACCCUCCUUCCCUUUCCUUUCCCCGUGCAUUCCCUGUCUGUCUCUCCUUCACGAUCUCACACCCACGCAUACACCCAAAUACGUACGGCACACCCCAAACCCUCCAAAAACUCGACGGAUCGAGGCAAAUAAGGGAAUUUCAAGCUUGUAGUGGGCUUUAUGAGGUCCUAAGGAAGCUCGGGGACGUUCGUUGGACAGUUUUGGACGUCGGGAUCGUGGGUUUCAAAGUUGGCCGAAUUCUUGGAUUUUUCUCGGUGAGAUUUCUUGAUUUUUAGACCCUAAAACUAGUCCAACGUGAUAGUACACUCUUAGGGCUUCAAAUUGAUAUAAAAUACGAAGAAAAUGGGUGAAAAACGAAGGAGAACAAGAGGUUUAAAGUUUGGCCGGAAUUGGGUCGCCGGAAAAACCAGUCCGGCGAACCCUGGGGAAGACGAUGACACGUGCCGCGCGUGGCUGCGCGUGGCCUACGCGUAGAGCCGAGCUCUAGUCGGCGCGUGAGGGCGCGUGGGGAGUCCAAAAUUGUUUCUAAAAAUUUCCCGACGCUCUUGACGUCGAGUAAGUCGAUGUGGUAUAUUCAUAAACCCAAAUUGAGCAUCGUAUGAGAAUUUUUUUUGGAAUUUUGGUGAUGUGUUUAAAAUUAACGUUUUUAUAGUUGUUUCGCAUAUAGGUGAGACGUAUCCCGAGGACGACCGCAUCCAGGGACGCCACGGGGGUUACGACCCGUCGACAUAUCAGUGAGUGGGCAGUUUUGAUUUCGUAUUUACCUAUAUACAUCUAUUUUCCCAGAAAAUACGCGUUUUAUAAAUUUAAUUUGCCAUGCAUGAAAAUAUUGAAAUACUGGAAUUGAUAAUUGAUAUAUGCGCGUGAAAUGAUGCGGUGGACGCUCAGGUGAGUUUAUUUAUUUCCAGCUGAGUUAUUUAUAUGAAUUGCAUUGAAAGCUCAUAACCUGCACCUAGGUGAUAGUGAUUAUAUUGUUAUUCACCACACCGCACGCUCGUCUUGGAUCCAAGUAUGUGGAUGUCGUACAGACCAUGUGAGGGUUCCGACAUGCCAGUCGUACAGACCAUUAGAGGGGUUCCGACUGGUGGGUGACCUUAGAUAUGCGCGCUGAUGAUUGAUGUGAGAAGCACUAGAGCGUAUUUAUACACCUGUCACCGUACAGACUACCUUAUGUAGUUCCGAGUGACGUGCAGAGUUAAACCGUACAGGUCACCGAGGUGACUCCGGUUGGAUGAGAUGUUGAGCUUUAGAAUCAGCCGUACAGGACCAUCGUAGGGUCUCCGGUUGACUUAGUAUUCACCUGAUUGAUAUUGAUUUACAUUCUGAUUAUAUUUUGGGCAUGGCAUACCGUUUCUGUGAUAUUAUGAUGAUGAAAUGUGCUGAGUUAUGAGGUUGAGUAUAUUUAUAUGUUUAUAUACUAUUUUCUGGGAAAGUAUACAGGUUUUUACGGCGAGGGGAUAUAAUUGUUUUAAUGAACUGUUUUGGAAAACUAAUUUGUUUUACUGACCCACUCAUUUUGUUUUGCGCCCCUCCAGGUUCUAGUUUAGCGGUGGUUGGCUCACGAGGUCCUUUUCCGGCUUUCUGACAGACCUUGGACAUGUAGGACUCACCUGAGGGUGAUGUAUUCUUAUUUUAGUCCUACUUGACUGCAGUUACCUAUGCUCUGAACUUAUGUGUUUGUAGUAUAACUUGUCCGGUUAUGUUCGUAGGUGGAUAUGUUUAAGUUGGUUUGAAUUUCAGCUGAUUUAUGUUCUUGUUUUGCUUCCGUGUCGCACCUUUGGUUACGUCACGCCCACGUGACGGCCAGCACACCUGGAUACCCCGGAUCGGGGUGUGUCAGUUUUAAUAUUGUAUGUAAUUUGUUGUGAGACAUCACGUGAUGAGGCCCUUCAGUUUGAGAGGUUUUGCAAAACCUUUAGCAUAGAACAAAAAAAUGACCAGCCAAUGUUGGAGAUGAUUUGUUGGAACUAAAUAGACUAUAAAAUAGGUAAAGGUAGUAUGUUAGUGUGUGCAACUGCUUUUUACAAAAGGACAUUUAACGAAAAACUUAUGAUAUUGUUCACUUUAACGAAAAACCACAUUUUACACUAAAAAGUCAAUUUUGGUACUAUUCAUUUUAUCCUUUAUUUUGUCCUUAUCGUUAAAACUCAAAAUUUUCAAGUCUUUUUCAUUAGUUUUCAUUUUUACAAAAUAGGCGAUGGAUAGAGAAUGAGAGCCUACGAACCCUAAUGAGAUUGACCACUGAUUUGAUUGAUGGCUAAGAAUUAACAUCUCUUUUUUCUGUGACUUGAAGCACAAAUAGGUUUGAAACAAUAACAAAUUAAGAAAGCUCUUGAUAUUGGUGAUCUUAUAACUGGUAUAGGAUUAAAUCAAGAUAUUAGUCUCACGCGUCCUUGUGAUACACAGUGGAACUCACAUUAUGGUACUAUAGUUAGUGUUAUUGUUAUGUUUUAAGCCAUGGUGGAGGUGCUUGAAUGGAUUAAAGAUGAUGGCAACCAAGAUAAUUUCAGUGAAGCAAGUUCUUCCACGACAUACAAACUCUUGAUUUUGUGUUUCACCUUUUUUUUAUGAGACUUAUAUUGGGAAUUACAAAUGAGUUAUCACAAGCAUUACCAAAGAAAAUCAAGAUAUUGUGAAUGUGAUGACGUUAGUGGAAGUAUGCAAGCAAAGACUACAAUCCUUGAGAGAUGAUGACUUUGGGGACUUGUUUGAUGAUGUACAAAAGUUUAGUGAGGAGUAUGAGAUUAUCGUUCCUAACAUGGAGGAUUUGCAUUUCUUACCCGAAAAAAUCAAAGUGUAAAGCUCCAAGACUCACAAACUUCUUUACUAUCGUGUGAACCUCUAUUUUCAAGUUCUUGAUAUGCAACUAAAGGAAUUGAAUGAUCGCUUUAAUGAGGUAAACACCGAGUUGCUUCUUUGUAUGGCAUGUUUGAGUCCGGUAAAUAAUUUUGCAUCUUUUUGACAAAGCAAAAAUUGUUUAUUUAGCCCAACUUUAUCCUCAAGAUUUUGAUCGUAUGGAACUCAUGAAUCUUCCAAUUCAACUUGAAAAUUACAUUCAUGAUAUGAAGAUGCAUAGUGAGUUUUCAUCAUUGAGAGGAAUUAGUAAUCUUGCAAAUGAGUUAGUGAAGACCAGGAGGCGUGUAAGCUAUAUGUUAGUGUAUAAGCUUCUUACAUUGGUUUUGGUGUUACCGGUUGCAACAGCUUCGGUGGAGAGAGCUUUCUGUUAUGAAGAUUGUGAAAACACCAUUGCAUAACAAAAUGGGAGAUCAAUGGUUGAGUGAUAGCGUGUUUGUUUACAUUGAGUGAGAUGUAUCUGCUUUUAUUGAUAAUGAGUCUGUUAUGCGAUGUUUUCAUGACAUGAAACCUCGCCGGCAACAAUUGUAAUUUGUUUUGUAUUGAUAAAAGGAUUUGGUUGUUGUCACAUUCUUUUGAACCUUGCACUCUUUUAAGUUCGCCCUUCCCCCCAACAAUUCCCCGGCAAUGGUCAUGGCAUCUGGUUGCAUCAAAAGUAUCUUACAUGUGAACCCUAUAUGGCAUCUAGAUGGAUUUAAAUGGACUAGGAUUCUCUCCCUCAUCUUUCCAUCCACAUUCCAUCUCCUCCUCUCACACUCUUUAUUUUGUCUUUCUCUUUCUAUAAAAAAUUAAUAUAAGAUACUGACGUGGCUUAACCGUGACCGUUCAAAUAGGAAUGGAGGGAAUGAGGGAAAAAAGAGAGGAGAGAAUCCUUCUCCGAUUUAAACAAGUAAGAACCCAUUAACCUCUAUGGAAGUCAUUGGAAAAUCACACAAACCCUAAUUGCAUGACAUCUACAAAUAAGUGUUUAUGGUAUCAAUUGCAAGAAGCUAAACCCAAGUAUGGCAUCUACUCUAACUUGCAUCAAAUCAACUUAACUAAAACUUAGAUGGUGAUCAAGCAUCUAAAUAAAAAUCAAGCGCAUUACGAAUAGCAAAAGAUAAAAUAAAACUCCAAAGUAAAACCCUAGCAAAGAAAAACUCCAAAGUAGCUCUCCUCUUUGCCGCAACCAAAAUGCCCCCAAACUAAUUUUGCUUGUCCUCGAGCAAACCAAAAUAAAACGCAAAAACUCAAAAGAAACAAAUAGUAGCUAACUUCCCAAAUUAACAUAUUUUCAUAUAUGUUAGCUUGGUUUACUGCGUCAAUUAGUGCUUAUAUCUUUUGGUAAACUUUCAUAACGAAUCAUAUUGAGUCAUAAUUUUUUUUAACAUGUAUCAAUGACAUAACCCGCUGCAGAACCAAACUGUAGCACACAAUUCAUCACUGCUAUGACAGCUAAGACAUUCCAAAUCACACAAGUUUACAUACAUUGGGAUAAAACCCACAGUUAUUCAUUGUUAAAUAUAAUUACAAUAAGUUGAUUUUUGUUGGAUGCAACCAUCCAACUACUAUGAUCCUUCAGCGCCCAAUGUUGGAUUUUCUAAGGCGAAGAAACUCCAUACUCAAAAUCGUGGGCAUCGGCUGGAGAGAGAUUGUCUUCGCGUCUUGGGUUGAAGUGCGAGACCUUGAAGAAUAUGAGAACUGGAUCAUCUGGGUCCUCUUCUUCUUAUUAUUCUUUCUUCAAAUGCUUGUAACUCUUAUGGUUAGAGAGAGAGAAGCAGAGAAAGGAAAGAGAGAGGGAAAAGAGGGGGCGACGAGAGACGGGGGAGAGGAGAAAGUGGGUGAAUCAAAGAAAAAAAGUAAUAGGUGAGGGAGAGAGAGAGGGGAGAGGAGAGAGUGGGGUGGGUGAAAAAGAGUAAUCUUUCUUUUAUACCCAAAAGGAGAAAAAAGAUAAAAAAAGAAAAGAAAAAGUGCUGACUAGGCUAUGGGAAAGAAGUUACCGACAUCUCUCCUUCCCUCCUCGGUUAUAAAUAGGGGGGGUAUUUCAAAAAAAAAAAAAAAAACAGUACUAGGAACUCUUGCCCACGCAACGAGGUAUUCCAACCGAGUGCUCGACUGACUUGUCUGUAAGUCUCUGGUUUUUGUUAGUGCGAUGAUGUCCCCAACAACAUUCUGGAUAAACAAUCCUUCACGCCUGCAAAUUGAGAGUCCAAAUUAUUCAAACAGAUGAUUCAUCAUAUCAUGCAACACCAAGAUUCAUAUGAACUAAACUAAUUCAUCAUAUAUGUUCAAUUAAGAAUUAUUUAGACGACCCUUAAGCUGACAUGACCAGACUGGUGGAUAACCCACUGGGAAUUUAUACAGAAAACGAGCCCUAUUACUUGCAACAACAUAAGGUUCCUGUGAGUAGAAGCUCUUCUUUGAUCAAUCAUCCAUGGCUUCCUCAGUUUUUUUUAUCAAUCGUCCAUGUGAUUAUUGAUCUGCUAAUGAAUUAGGCUUUGCUAUAUUUGUUCCAACAUCUGGUAUCAGAGCCAAUAAUAUUGGCUUCUCAUUAAUCCGUCAAGGCUGAUGCUUAUGUAAUUACUAAUCAUUAUUUUCUUCUUCUAAUUACUAAUUAUUAUAUUCUUCUUCUAAUCAUUAAUCUGAUUAUACAAGAUGUUCCAAGCGAUUAAAUUUUGUAAAAGAGGAAAUUUGAAUUAUACCCGUCCGCCGUGGUUUUAAGACUCC
RNAcentral lists this long non-coding RNA (32003 nucleotides) under Malus domestica (apple). RNAcentral describes it as "long non-coding RNA (MDOM_LNC017147)". The record is from RNAcentral. Lineage: Eukaryota; Viridiplantae; Streptophyta; Magnoliopsida; Rosales; Rosaceae.